RNAcentral lists this ribosomal RNA (433 nucleotides) under uncultured bacterium. RNAcentral describes it as "partial 16S ribosomal RNA". It matches the Rfam family "Bacterial small subunit ribosomal RNA", at positions 29 to 507 of the family's 1533-position model. The record is from RNAcentral.
AACGAACGCUGGCGGCAUGCCUAACACAUGCAAGUCGAACGAGACCUUCGGGUCUAGUGGCGCACGGGUGCGUAACGCGUGGGAACCUGCCCUUAGGUUCGGAAUAACUCCCCGAAAUGGGUGCUAAUACCGGAUAAUGUCUUCGGACCAAAGAUUUAUCGCCUUUGGAUGGUCCCGCGUUGGAUUAGCUAGUUGGUAGGGUAAAAGCCUACCAAGGCGACGAUCCAUAGCUGGUCUGAGAGGAUGAUCAGCCACACUGGGACUGAGACACGGCCCAGACUCCUACGGGAGGCAGCAGUGGGGAAUAUUGGACAAUGGGCGAAAGACUGAUCCAGCAAUGCCGCGGGAGUGAUGAAGGCCUUAGGGUUGUAAAGCUCUUUUACCCGGGAUGAUAAUGACAGUACCGGGAGAAUAAGCUCCGGCUAACUCCGUG